RNAcentral lists this non-coding RNA (84 nucleotides) under Pseudomonas salomonii. Lineage: Bacteria; Pseudomonadati; Pseudomonadota; Gammaproteobacteria; Pseudomonadales; Pseudomonadaceae. The record is from RNAcentral.
UUUGAUGGUGGCUGUACGGAGGGCGCUUUCGAGCGCGCCGGUGAGUCUCCCCGGUCUACUAACCUGCGUACAGCUGCCACCCUC